AGACCCAGAGAGAGAGGCAGGAUCUGAUCCACUGCCUCAAUGGCAGCUGUUGAUCAGUACUUGCCUCUCUCUUUCUCUCGC
This is a non-coding RNA of Myotis brandtii (Brandt's bat), 81 nucleotides long. The record is from Rfam. NCBI's taxonomy places the organism in Eukaryota, Metazoa, Chordata, Mammalia, Chiroptera, Vespertilionidae.